Molecule: ribosomal RNA, 442 nt
Filed under: uncultured bacterium
Lineage: Bacteria
Description: partial 16S ribosomal RNA
Rfam family: Bacterial small subunit ribosomal RNA
Source: RNAcentral
CCUACGGGUGGCAGCAGUGGGGAAUAUUGGGCAAUGGGCGCAAGCCUGACCCAGCAACGCCGCGUGAAGGAAGAAGGCUUUCGGGUUGUAAACUUCUUUUGUCAGGGAAGAGUAGAAGACGGUACCUGACGAAUAAGCCACGGCUCACUACGUGCCAGCAGCCGCGGUAAUACGUAGGUGGCAAGCGUUGUCCGGUUUUACUGGGUGUAAAGGGCGUGUAGCCGGGUUGACAAGUCAGAUGUGAAAUCCUGCGGCUUAACCGGAGAACUGCGUUUGAAACUGUUGAUCUUGAGUACUGGAGAGGCAGACGGAAUUCCUAGUGUAGCGGUGAAAUGCGUAGAUAUUAGGAGGAACACCAGUGGCGAAGGCGGUCUGCUGGACAGCAACUGACGGUGAGGCGCGAAAGCGUGGGGAGCAAACAGGAUUAGAUACCCCAGUAGUC